CGUUCAGGGGUNAACCUGCGAAACUCGAAUGAACGAACGGGGAGAUUCAUCGUCAUCCGGCGGGCGGCUGUGCCGUUGCGCGAUGUUCAGCCCUCCGGCGAUCUCGGUCGUCGGUGCGAGUUGAGCACGCGCGCGGCGCUAGCAUCACGUCCGCCGACGGCGUGCACUUCUCCCUUAGUACUGCAUCGCGACCCGCUCGAUGUCGGUCUAAGCUCUGUUAGGGAGCCCGCGGUGAGUUCGCUCACCACGGACCUUACGGAUGCUGGCCGGCUGUCGGGCGGUAGCUGACAUGAAUCGCGCACGCGCUUGUCGCGUUCGGCACGACGCAAGGUCGUCUCGAUGCCGCCGUGUUGCCUAUUAUGUGCGGGCGGUGUGCGUCAGGCGCCUGCUCAUCGCUGCCGUUAGUCUCGAACGUGCGCGUAUCGAGUCUGCGAUGUUUUAGUUUCGGGCACUCGCAGGACCCGUCUUGAAACACGGACCAAGGAGUCUAGCAUGUGUGCGAGUCACUGGGUAUUAAAACCUAAAGGCGUAACGAAAGUGAAGGCGCUCGCUUGCCGAGCGCUCGGGGAGGAUGACUGUGCACUCACAAGGUCGCAGUUCGCACUCCCGAGGCGUCCCGUUCCCAAUUCGUGGAUGUGGGCGCGCUCAGAGCACACAUGCUGGGACCCGAAAGAUGGUGAACUAUGCCUGGUCAGGUCGAAGUCAGGGGAAACCCUGAUGGAGGACCGUAGCGAUUCUGACGUGCAAAUCGAUCGUCGGAACUGGGUAUAGGGGCGAAAGACUAAUCGAACCAUC
This 795-nucleotide ribosomal RNA is filed under the name Muhabbetana nigrifasciata. RNAcentral describes it as "eukaryotic LSU rRNA". It matches the Rfam family "Eukaryotic large subunit ribosomal RNA", at positions 406 to 944 of the family's 3401-position model. The record is from RNAcentral. Lineage: Eukaryota; Metazoa; Arthropoda; Insecta; Lepidoptera; Nepticulidae.